This 305-nucleotide unclassified non-coding RNA is filed under the name plant metagenome. RNAcentral describes it as "partial contains 5.8S ribosomal RNA, internal transcribed spacer 2, and large subunit ribosomal RNA". The stretch from base 1 to 105 matches the Rfam family "5.8S ribosomal RNA", at positions 50 to 154 of the family's 154-position model. The record is from RNAcentral.
GAAAUGCGAUAAGUAGUGUGCAUUGCAGAAUUCAGUGAAUCAUCGAAUCUUUGAACGCACAUUGCGCCCUUUGGUAUUCCAAAGGGCAUGCCUGUUCGAGCGUCAUUUGUACCCUCAAGCUUUGCUUGGUGUUGGGCGUCUUGUCUCCAGUUCGCUGGAGACUCGCCUUAAAGUAAUUGGCAGCCGGCCUACUGGUUUCGGAGCGCAGCACAAGUCGCGCUCUCUUCCAGCCAAGGUCAGCAUCCACAAAGCCUUUUUUCAACUUUUGACCUCGGAUCAGGUAGGGAUACCCGCUGAACUUAAGC